Drosophila virilis is the source of this 226-nucleotide non-coding RNA. NCBI's taxonomy places the organism in Eukaryota, Metazoa, Arthropoda, Insecta, Diptera, Drosophilidae. The record is from Rfam.
UAUUAACGACAAUGGAUGUGAUGCCAAUGUUAUUUAUAACAUAGUAAAUUGGGAGGAUCUUCGAUCACCUGAUGCCGCGCUAGUUAUAUUUUAAAACAUUAUUUAAUACAAUGUCAAAGCCUAGAAUCAAUUGUAAACGACUUUUGUAACAGGCAAGGUGUUGUAAGUGGUUGAGCAGCUGCCAUACUGCGAUCCACUGAAGCUUAUCCUUUGCUUGAUGAUUCGA